Molecule: long non-coding RNA, 390 nt
Filed under: Cyanistes caeruleus (blue tit)
Lineage: Eukaryota; Metazoa; Chordata; Aves; Passeriformes; Paridae
Description: lncRNA (ENSCCEG00000017049.1)
Source: RNAcentral
CUUCAGCUUUUUGCACUGCCAAGACCAUGUUCAUGUUCUCCUGAGAACCUAACAACUCAUAGGACAUCUUGCCAGGAUUGCCAAAUUAUCACCUGAUAUCUUGAAUAGUGCUUUUAAUCUGCAGCAUACUUUACUUAUUAGCUGGUGGAAGGGUGGUAAGUCCAUGGAGGAAAUUACCCUGAGCUUCAGAAAAUAAGUUUCUUGCACCAGAUGUAAGAAUGUUGAGACAUAUGGAAAACAAAAUCAGCUACAGCAAGAAUGAGCUACCAGUCAUAAUUUUGUCACUAUGGAUGCAACUGCAGAGAAACACAUGCACGUUCUGACAGCUGCUCUGUUCCACAAGGAUUAAAACAGCAGGAAGACUGGCAAUGUGAAAGAGAGAAAACAGAG